GACGAACGCUGGCGGCGUGCCUAAUACAUGCAAGUUGAGCGAUGAAGAUUGGUGCUUGCACCAAUUUGAAGAGCAGCGAACGGGUGAGUAACGCGUGGGGAAUCUGCCUUUGAGCGGGGGACAACAUUUGGAAACGAAUGCUAAUACCGCAUAACAACUUUAAACAUAAGUUUUAAGUUUGAAAGAUGCAAUUGCAUCACUCAAAGAUGAUCCCGCGUUGUAUUAGCUAGUUGGUGAGGUAAAGGCUUACCAAGGCGAUGAUACAUAGCCGACCUGAGAGGGUGAUCGGCCACAUUGGGACUGAGACACGGCCCAAACUCCUACGGGAGGCAGCAGUAGGGAAUCUUCGGCAAUGGACGAAAGUCUGACCGAGCAACGCCGCGUGAGUGAAGAAGGUUUUCGGAUCGUAAAACUCUGUUGGUAGAGAAGAACGUUGGUGAGAGUGGAAAGCUCAUCAAGUGACGGUAACUACCCAGAAAGGGACGGCUAACUACGUG
This 497-nucleotide ribosomal RNA is filed under the name uncultured bacterium. Its description in RNAcentral is "partial 16S ribosomal RNA". It matches the Rfam family "Bacterial small subunit ribosomal RNA", at positions 28 to 507 of the family's 1533-position model. The record is from RNAcentral.